This 458-nucleotide ribosomal RNA is filed under the name uncultured bacterium. RNAcentral describes it as "partial 16S ribosomal RNA". It matches the Rfam family "Bacterial small subunit ribosomal RNA", at positions 338 to 795 of the family's 1533-position model. The record is from RNAcentral.
CCUACGGGAGGCAGCAGUGAGGAAUAUUGGUCAAUGGGCGAGAGCCUGAACCAGCCAAGUCGCGUGAGGGAGUACUGCCCUAUGGGUUGUAAACCUCUUUUGUCGGGGAGCAAAAGCCGGACGUGUCCGGCUGUGAGAGUACCCGAAGAAAAAGCAUCGGCUAACUCCGUGCCAGCAGCCGCGGUAAUACGGAGGAUGCGAGCGUUAUCCGGAUUUAUUGGGGUAAAGGGGUGCGCAGGUGGAUUUUUAAGUCAGCGGUCAAAUCGUGGGGCUCAACCCCAUCCAGCCGUUGAAACUGGGGAUCUAGAGUGUGCGAGAGGUAUGCGGAAUGCGUGGUGUAGCGGUGAAAUGCAUAGAUAUCACGCAGAACCCCGAUUGCGAAGGCAGCAUACCGGUGCACAACUGACGCUCAGGCACGAAAGCGUGGGUAUCGAACAGGAUUAGAUACCCCAGUAGUC